UGAUCUUCUGUGUAGAUGCUAGAUGUACUA
This 30-nucleotide non-coding RNA is filed under the name Rattus norvegicus (Norway rat). Lineage: Eukaryota; Metazoa; Chordata; Mammalia; Rodentia; Muridae. The record is from RNAcentral.